GACGGCGGAAGCAAGCGUUAUCCGGAAUUAUUGGGCGUAAAGGGUACGUAGGCGGCUGGUCAAGUCUGGGGUCAAAGGCCACAGCUCAACUGUGGGAAGGCCCUGGAAACUGACCGGCUAGAGUGAGGUAGGGGUUGCGGGAAUUCCCGGUGUAGCGGUGAAAUGCGUAGAGAUCGGGAAGAACACCUGAGGCGGAAGCGCGCAACUGGGCCUCAACUGACGCUGAGGUACGAAAGCUAGGGGAGCGAAUGAG
Molecule: ribosomal RNA, 253 nt
Filed under: uncultured bacterium
Lineage: Bacteria
Description: partial 16S ribosomal RNA
Rfam family: Bacterial small subunit ribosomal RNA
Source: RNAcentral